This is a long non-coding RNA of Branchiostoma floridae (Florida lancelet), 882 nucleotides long. RefSeq lists it as uncharacterized. NCBI's taxonomy places the organism in Eukaryota, Metazoa, Chordata, Leptocardii, Amphioxiformes, Branchiostomatidae. The record is from RefSeq and is a predicted model, not a curated record. The transcript has 3 exons.
CUUCCUGCGCUGUGAUUGGCUUGUCCACGUGAAGCUAUCUAUAUAACGCAAAAGCUGACUAAUUACUGCGUAGUUAGACAGACUCAUCCCCAUAGACUGGUCGCCGGCGCCAGGUGCUCCGAGGGCCGGGCAGAACGUGCAAGGCAGACCGCCAGAACUGGGUUUUGGCCGACGGAACCACCACAGGGCGCACGGGGUGGGAUCGUCGAGCGCCGUGGAGCCAAACGCCAAGCAGGAGCGAACAGUGGAGUGGGAGACCGAGGAAACAUUUUCCGGCAUGGGAGCAAGUGUCGUGGUAUCUGUUACCGUUGAAGGGAAAAGAUAUUGCAAGUCCUAACUACGCCAGUGAGAGCCCCGGCACCAGCAGCUUAAGGAAAUCCAGCCGGGCAGGUCUGGGACACCAGGCGGCAGCAGGGAAGCCAAGCGCCACGCGCAAGCCAUGGGGGAUUGACUCGGACCCGGGACGUAGAUGGCUAAUCCGUCGGGCAGACAACGAAGAAAUACUGAGAGAAAAACAAUGGGGAAGUACGGUCCGUUCGAAGCACCUGGGAACGCCGAUGGAGCUUAGAACGACGGAGGGCCCGAACGCCAUGCUAGGACACCGCCGCGGCCCAGAGAACAGCCGACGCGACAGGAAACAAGGGGAUACGAGCGCCAGAGAACGCUGACGCUGGGUCGGAGAUUUAGCGCAGGCCGUCGGGGUUUGCCGUGCCGAACAACCACGGGCACGGAGCUCGAGGGAAUGGACAGUAGUGGAGGCAGGGUGAAGGCUGCAACAGCGGUCGGAAGGGAAGGCGAUAUCAAUGUGUGAUUUCAUGGUGUUGUUUUCGUUUUGUGUUUGACAUUAACUCUUGCUGAAAUUUCAUUAAAUUUGUUUUGCAU